RNAcentral lists this ribosomal RNA (429 nucleotides) under uncultured archaeon. RNAcentral describes it as "bacterial SSU rRNA". It matches the Rfam family "Archaeal small subunit ribosomal RNA", at positions 146 to 576 of the family's 1478-position model. The record is from RNAcentral.
UUAAUACCGGAUAGAUCAAAGAUACUGGAAUGUUCUCUGGUCUAAAGCUCCGGCGCCCAAGGAUGGGUCUGCGGCCUAUCAGGUAGUAGUGGGUGUAACGUACCUACUAGCCUGCGACGGGUACGGGUUGUGAGAGCAAGAUCCCGGAGAUGGAUUCUGAGACAUGAGUCCAGGCCCUACGGGGUGCAGCAGGCGCGAAACCUUUACACUGCGGGAAACCGCGAUAAGGGGACCCCGAGUGCCAGCACCUAGUGCUGGCUGUCCCGCUGUCCAAACAACAGCGGUUAGCAAGGGCCGGGCAAGACCGGUGCCAGCCGCCGCGGUAACACCGGCGGCCCGAGUGGUAGCCGCUAUUAUUGGGUUUAAAGGGUCCGUAGCCGGCCUGUUAAGUCUCUUGGGAAAUCUGGCGGCUCAAUCGUCAGGCGUUCA